Non-coding RNA from Pelobates cultripes (western spadefoot toad), 308 nucleotides. The record is from the annotation of a GenBank genome assembly. NCBI's taxonomy places the organism in Eukaryota, Metazoa, Chordata, Amphibia, Anura, Pelobatidae.
AUAACUUUAACAAUAUUCAGUUUAUUUAAAUGAAUGGACAUUCGGUAGAUAGCUGGGGUCUGGGUGCACAUUUUGUGGGAAUACCGCUCAGAUCCCGGCUAAAACAACCAAACGCCGCACGAAUACACUUUGCCAUUGAGUUCACCUAAAAGUACUGAACACCGAUGGGGAACCACAAUAGGGAAAGACCGGAGCUCCCGAACGGCCUGGAAGUCCAGCGGUGUUCGCGCCGUCGAGUAGCCGUUUUCAGUGCCACGCGCUCGACGGCCAAACACCGCUGAUGAGACAAAGGAUCCAAGAUGGCCGAC